Molecule: ribosomal RNA, 486 nt
Filed under: Triticum aestivum (bread wheat)
Lineage: Eukaryota; Viridiplantae; Streptophyta; Magnoliopsida; Poales; Poaceae
Description: partial small subunit ribosomal RNA
Source: RNAcentral
AUGAGUGGCCGGACGGCGGUUAACAUCAAUGGGGAGGUUGGCCCAUACUUCUUGACUGGCCAAGGGGUCCGACAGGGCGAUCCGAUCUCCCCAUUUCUUUUCAACCUUGUGGUUGAUGUGCUCGCCACGAUUCUGGACUUGGCCAAGCGUGCGGGUCACAUUAGGGGGAUUUGCCCUCAUCUGGUGACUCCUGGGGGUCUAACCCACCUCCAGUACGCGGACGACACCAUUAUGAUGGUCGAGGGAUCGGAUGAGGAUAUCCAGAAUCUUAAAUUCCUCCUCCUCUGUUUCCAGGAGAUGUCGGACCUCAAGAUAAACUUUGCCAAGAGCGAGGUAAUGGUCAUGGGAUACUCCCAAGGGGAGGCCCAGCGGAUGGCUAACCGUCUUAACUGCCGCCUGGGUUCCUUCCCUACGACUUAUCUGGGCGUGCCCCUUAGCGAUACACGUCUCCUGGAAAAGGAUUUCCUCCCAAUAGUCGCCAAGCUC